CCGGGUACAUAGGCGGGCUCCGCGCCACCCAGCGGCUCUCAGCUGACCUAUCCUCUUAUCUGUGCUUAUGAAGUAGAGGACGCACGGGGCCAGAGUGGACGGUUGCACAAGACCUCAUGAAUAUUGAGUGUUUUCGUGUCGUAAGGAAAUUCAGUGCAUCCUGAACAUAUAUCAUCUUGUGGUCAGAAAGGUAUAAGCCUCAGAGCAAGAACCAACAUGCUGAAGAUGAUAGAGUGGAAAAUGGAAAACACCGGAGCCCUUAAUGACACCACUGAGAAGAACACACAGCGCAUUCCUGGAGGAUAACUGUUAUGGGAAAUGAAUAUGCACACGAGCAGCAGCAGAAAGCGAGGCGGUCAGCACGGCCUUAGCCUGGCUCUUCCUUCCACGCAGACAGAAGCGCCCGCAGAGAGUGGUGGACACGGCGCAUGUGCUGGUGCUGCCCACGUUUAUGACUCCU
Long non-coding RNA from Tupaia belangeri chinensis (Chinese tree shrew), 460 nucleotides. RefSeq lists it as uncharacterized. NCBI's taxonomy places the organism in Eukaryota, Metazoa, Chordata, Mammalia, Scandentia, Tupaiidae. The record is from RefSeq and is a predicted model, not a curated record. The transcript has 3 exons.